RNAcentral lists this transfer RNA (90 nucleotides) under Nitrososphaerota archaeon. Its description in RNAcentral is "tRNA-Arg". It matches the Rfam family "tRNA". From Rfam's summary of the family: Transfer RNA (tRNA) molecules are approximately 80 nucleotides in length. Lineage: Archaea; Thermoproteati; Nitrososphaerota. The record is from RNAcentral.
GGGCCCGUAGCCUAGCACGGAUCAGGGCGUCAGCCUCCGAAGCUGAAGAGCUGCCUUCAGAAACCAUGGGUUCGAAUCCCAUCGGGCCCG